ACACGGUGACGCAAGGGCCGGAAGGAGGGACCCUGUGUCUGGAGAAGCGGGAGAUGGGGGCCUGGACCCCUGGGUCUGAGGGAGGAGGGGCUGGGGUCGUGAUUCCCGUGUUUGGGAGAAAAGGGGGUUGGGAGCUGGGACUCCUGGGGCCGAGGGAGGCCUUUGGGGCUCCCACUCAGUUUUGACGGUCUAAGGCCUGGGGGCCUGGAUUCUUGGUAGGGUUGGAGAUCUCAGGAGUGUCUUUCCACUGAUAGGAUUAUACAUUCUUUCCACUUAUAUGAUUAUUUUGAAAAUUAAAAAAUGAAACUUCUCUACUCCAAACUCACUUUCUAGGAGUUUCACUGUCAACAAUUUGGUGUGGACUUUAUGUUUUCUUUUUUCAGAUGGAGUCUUGCUCUGUCGCCCAGGCUGGAGUCCAGUGGUGUGAUCUCAGCUCACUUCAUCCUCCGCUUCCCGAGUUCAAGCAAUUCUCGUGCCUCAGCCUCCCGAGUAGCUGGGAUUACAGGUGCCUAUCACCACGCCCAGCUAAUUUUUUUGCAUGUUUAGUAGAGACAGGGUUUCACCAUAUUGGCCAGGCUGGUCUCGAACUCCUGACCUCAAGUGAUCUGCCUGCCUCAAACCUCCCAAAGCACUGGGAUUACAGGUGUGAGCCACCACGCCUGGCCUGGUAUGGACUUUAUAUAUAUAUACACACACACACACACACACACACACACACAUAUUAUGGAUAAAGAUACUUUUUUCCACUCUAAUCUGUCCCAUAAGUUGUUUCCCCACAUGAGUACGUACAGAAUUAUCUCAUUCACUGAACAAUGGCAACGGGCUCCUUUGUGUGAAUUGAACACGCUUUGUUUAGCGGGUCCCUGGUCAUUUGGGUUGUUUUCUUCUUUCUAGUGAGGAGAUUCCUUUCAUGAACCUUGUGGUCUGGAGUAAAAGAAGAGACCUACAUUCCUCUCUUAAGGCAAUGAGAGACGUUUAUGUCACUGGCUGCUGCCUCACUUUAGCAUAAAAGCAAAGUCCUCGCUGUGACCCACACAGCCCUUAGUGAUCUGGCCCCUGUCCCCUCUCAGCCUGCAUCUCUUUCCUCUCCUUUGGCCUCCCUGGUGCUCCUGGAACCUGCCAAGGACGUUUCUACUUCAGGGACUUUGCAUGUACUGUCCUCUCUGCCUGGAACUCUUUUCCCCCAUCUACAUGGCUUUCUGCCUCCCUUGGUCCUAUCUCUGCUCAGAUGUCAUCCUGGAAUGGAGUCUCCUGACCUCCUUGCCUCCACUUUAUAUGACUGUGAGGCUCUCUUGUUCCGAAUCCCAUCUCACCUACCCUCCUAUAUUUUUCGUCAUAACAUUUACCUCUAACCUAUUGUCUGCUUUAUUUUAUUUUAUUUUUUGAGACAGCAUCUCGCUCUGUCACCCAGGCUGGAAUGCAGUGGCAUAGUCAUGGCUCACUGCAGCCUUGACUUCUCAGGCUCAAUCAAUCCACCUGCCUCAGCCUUCAUGUAGCUAAGACUACAAGAGGACACCACCACGCCCAGAUAAUUUCUGUAUUUUUUGUAGAGACAAGGUUUCGCCUUGUUACCUAGGCUGGUCUUGAACUCCUGGGCUCAAGCCAUCUACCCACCUCAGCCUCACAAAGUGCUGGGAUUACAGGUGUGAGCCACCAUGCCCGGCUCUAACUACUUGUUUAUGGACAUAUUUUGCUGCCUUGCUGAAUGUCAAUUCCAUAAAGAUAAGGAUUCGUGUCUAGUUUGAUCAGUGCUAUACAUCCAGUGUCUAGCAUAUGGUUGCAGCUCCAUCUGUGUUUAAAGAUGAAAUUUGCAGCGAGGAGUGGUGGUUUAACCCUAUAAUCCCAGCACUUUGGGAGGCUGAGGCAGGAGACUGACUUGAGCCCAGAAGUUUGAGACCAGACUGAGCAACAUAGACCCCAUCUCUAGAAAAAAAAUUUAAAGUUAGCCAGGCAUGGUGUCACAUGCCUGUGGAGCCAGCUACUCAGGAGGCUGAGGUGGGAGGAUUGCUUGAGCACAGGAGGUUGAGGCUGCAAUGAGCUGUUGCACCACUGUACUCCAGCCUGCGUGACAGAGAGAGACCCUAUCUCAAAAUUAAGUAAGUAAAUGAAUAAAUUUGGGAGCCUUUUGCAGGAGACAAGGGGGAGGAUUAUUGCAAUAGUACAGAAAGAGCACACACUAUGGACCAGGCAUUGUGCUAAAUCCUAUCUAGAUUAAAGUACUAUUAUUAUCCUCAUUUUACAGAUGGGUUCUACACCUUGCCUGUGGUCACAGAGCUACUAGUGACAGAGCCUGGACUCAAAACCAGGCAGCUUAGCCACUGUAUGAGAGGGAGAUAGAUGGCAGCCCCAGGCCAAGGCCCUGUAGGACAAUGAUAUGACUUUGUACUUGGCUUUCAACUCUGCCCUGUCCAGGAAAUGGCUCUCUGUUAGCCCCAAACCAUCUUCAAAGGGCCAUUACACAGCCUUGUGCUGGGGGACUCUGGGGAAAAGAAAGACGGGGUGGUGGUAAGAGCUACUGUUAAGCGUAGGAGGUGAAGUGUGGGUGCAGGGGGAAUUUGCUUCCGGAAGGGUAAAUUAUUAAGGACUGCAAAAAUAAAGGAUGAAGCUAAAAGGGCUUGGGGAGAAUGAGAUAUUCGGCAAACACUGAUUAAGCACUAUCUGUAUGCCAGGGACCAUUGGCUCGGCCUCUUUGUUGACCUUGUGCCUUGAGUCCCUUACUUAUGAGUCCCUUCCCUUCCCUAUCCCUCUACCCCAGAGGGCCCAAAGAUGGCCCCAGAGAGGGGUUUCAGUUCCACCAAUGCUUCCAAGGCUCAGAGCUAAAUUAAAGAAUAUUCUGGGCAGAAAAUACAGAUUAUUUUAAAAGAAAGAUUAUUAAUCUGGAUUGAGGCGGGUCAGAAGAGACUGAAAAAAGAUGAGUCUUCAUGGGGUUAGGGGCCAGAGAGCAGGGUUGUCAGCGUGGGGUUAGGGGCCAGAGAGCAGGGUUGUCAGACACUUGGCAGAGAGCUGUUGGAGCAGGCCAGCGGUGAGAUCAUUCGCGUGUCUUAGGUCCGGAUGGGCUGGAGCGCCAGGAUAGACCAGAAGUACAUGUAAUUCAGAUAGGACAAGAAGCCUUGUGGAGAGGAAGAGGGCACAGGAGAUGAGACACAGAGUUCACCCACCCAAUCCCAAUCACAGUCCUGUCCCCAGGCCCAAUUGCAUGCCCUGCUCUGCAUCAAACCCCAUCCCCAAACCUAUUCUUAAACCCAUCACCAAUUCCAUUCCAUACCCUAACCUAUUCCCAAACCCAUCUCCAAACCGAAACUCACCUUCAUCCCCUACACUGUCCCUAACCCAUACGCAAACUCCAACCCAGUCCCAUCCCCAUUAUCCAGCCCCAUGUGCAUCCCCAAUCCCGCCUCCCACUUCAGUCACUUCCUAUCUAGCCCUGUCCACAACCCCACCCCGUCCCAAAUGCUAUCCCAAAUGCUAUUCCUGUCUGCAUCCCUGAACCCAUACCCAAAGCCAACCUCAUCCUCUCCCAUACCAGUCAUCAGGAAGAGGAAGACACUGGCCCAGGUCAGGUAGAAGCUGAGUGCCAGCUGGUAGGUCAUGCCUUCCUGCAGGUACCUGUGGGCCUGCAGCAGGUAGAACAGGAUACCCAGUACGAUGCUGGUUCCUGCAUGAGCACAGGUGUUAGGAGGCUGAGAAUCAGAUAUGUAAGGACUCCUUCCCAUAGUCAUGUGGCUGCCUGGCUCUGGCUCAUUAUUUCCCCACUUUCUUUAACCUCCCAGACCCUGUACCUUUGCUCCUAAGCAUGAAGAUGGGCUUCUGACCAAGUCCUGCUAGAGGACACUGAAAGGGCAAGCCUUGGGCUUUAACCAGGCAAUGGUAAGUCUGUAACCACAGGUUUUGAGGCCAACAGCAGGGAUCUUCCCUGCCUCCACCUCUGGACUUAGGGCAGCCAUGCCAUAUCUCUGAGCCUCAGUUUCCUCAUCUGUAGAGUGGGCACAAUCAUAGGACCCAUCUCCUUGGGCCGU
This 4016-nucleotide long non-coding RNA is filed under the name Homo sapiens (human). RNAcentral describes it as "non-protein coding LINC01869:17". Lineage: Eukaryota; Metazoa; Chordata; Mammalia; Primates; Hominidae. The record is from RNAcentral.